AAAAAUUGUAGACACAACCUUCAUGUCACACACACUGCCAUUUUUAGAAAUGUGCCACAUCUUCAACACUCAACACACAGUAAACCACAGAGUGGAUGUCGAUGGAUUGAACACAGCUUACGCUUCUGUGUUACACUCUAUUAGACCCCAACACACUGACACACAUCAAAUUCGCCCGCACAAUUUGACCCAAAGCGUACCCGAUGAAAAUGAUACCCCUUAAUGCCCAAAUCAUAUCCCGAACAAAGUAACUCGAACCGCCACAAAAUUUGUGACCAUAGCGACAGUGUGAGAUAUUUAAUUGUUAAAUUCAGUGCCCCUAAAUGUCCUAAUCUCACAUUAUUUGUUAAUUUUAGUCAGUGUACCACCAGCUUUUGAUGGAAUUUAUGACGUUAGCCUUAAAAAAGGCAGCUAACAAGAAACGUCAAGCUAUUUCCCCCUGAAGAAGGCGCCAAUCAGCGCCGAAACGUCGGACACAGCAUAAACAGCGUUUCACUUUGCCCAGACUGAGUAGCCGAUCAAACUCAAAAUAAUAACAACAGUCGAACUCUCAUCAAUUAUA
Culex quinquefasciatus (southern house mosquito) is the source of this 562-nucleotide long non-coding RNA. RefSeq lists it as uncharacterized. NCBI's taxonomy places the organism in Eukaryota, Metazoa, Arthropoda, Insecta, Diptera, Culicidae. The record is from RefSeq and is a predicted model, not a curated record. The transcript is spliced from 2 exons.